UACAGAGGGUGCUAGCGUUGUCCGGAAUCAUUGGGCGUAAAGCGCGUGUAGGCGGCCCGGUAAGUCCGCUGUGAAAGUCGGGGGCUCAACCCUCGAAUGCCGGUGGAUACUGUCGGGCUAGAGUGCGGAAGAGGCGAGUGGAAUUCCUGGUGUAGCGGUGAAAUGCGCAGAUAUCAGGAGGAACACCAAUUGCGAAGGCAGCUCGCUGGGACGUGACUGACGCUGAGACGCGAAAGCGUGGGGAGCAAACAGG
This 253-nucleotide ribosomal RNA is filed under the name uncultured bacterium. RNAcentral's name for it is "partial 16S ribosomal RNA". It matches the Rfam family "Bacterial small subunit ribosomal RNA", at positions 524 to 776 of the family's 1533-position model. The record is from RNAcentral.